UUUUUUUGUUUCACCAAUUGAGCUUUGAGUGUUCUAUUAGUUCUUUCCAUUGUGGCCUGUCCUUGAGAAUUAUAAGAGAUUCCUGUUGUGUGUGUAAUUUUCCACUGACUUAAGAAUUUUUUUAAAGGAUUUACUACAGUAUCCUGGCCCAUUAUCUGUUUUAAUUUUUUCUGGAACUCCCAUGACUGCAAAACAAGAUAAUAAAUGUCUUUUAACAUGGGAAGUACUUUCUCCUGUCUGGCAGGUUGCCCAUAUGAAAUGGGAAUAAGUAUCAACUGUCACAUGGACAAAUGACAAUUUUCCAAAUGAAGGUACAUGUGUGACAUAACUCAUUAGGACGUAGACCUCUGGGAUUAACUCCUGCCUCCUCAGUGGGCUGGUGUAGGACUUGACAGUGGGUGCAACGUUGUACAAUAUUUUUUGCCUGUUUCCAUGUGAUAUCAAAUUUAUUUUUUAAUCCUGUUGCAUUUACAUGAGUCAGGGCAUGAAGUUCUUGUGCUUCCAUGAAUGCAGAUGAUACUAGCAAGUCAGCUUGUUCAUUUACCUUAGUUAAAGGCCCUGGUAAAUUAGUAUGUGCUCAAAUAACAGUAAUAUAAAAUGAGAAAUUUCUUUUUCUUACAGUUUGUUGUAACAAAUUAAACCGCUGGUUUAACUGAUCAUCCAUACUAUAUUUGAUUAGGGCUGUCUCAACAUCCUUUGUAGCCUGUACUACAUAUGCAGAAUCUGACACAAUGUUAAUAGGCUGAUUAAAAUCUUGUAACACUGAAAUGACAGCAACCAACUCUGCUCUUUGAGCUGAGUGAUAUGGAGUUUCAAUGACUUAUUUUUUGGUCCGGCGUAAACUGCUUUUCCCUUGCUGGAACCAUCAGUAAACACCACCAGAGCAUUUUCUAAAGGUUUAUGUCUGGUAAUUUUAGGUAAAAUCCAAGUAGUCAGCUUUAAAAACUGGAAGAUUUUUGUUUUUUGGGUAAUGAUUGUCAAUAAUUCCCACAAAAUCAGCAAGACCAGUCUGCCCUGCACCAGAAGUGAUAAAGUCUUGUCUAAUCUGUUCCUUGUUUAAAGGAACAAUGAUUUUAUCAGGGUCACUUCCAGACAAUUUUACUAUUUGUAAUCUUGCCUGACCAAUAAAUAUAGCCAUCUGAUACAAGUACAAUGUAAAAGUCUUAAUCGUACUGUGAGGAAGGAAGGACCACUCCACAAGAUCUGUGUUUUGAACAAUAAUGCCUGUUGGAGAACGUGCAGUAGCAAAAAUCAAAAGUUGGAGUGGGGCUAAGUGAUCUAUUCUAUUUACUUGUGCUGACCAAAUUUUUUCUUCAGCUAAUUCAAUUUCUUUUGUUGCCUCAGGAGUUAAUGUUCUUUUACUAUUCAAUUGU
RNAcentral lists this long non-coding RNA (1373 nucleotides) under Macaca fascicularis (crab-eating macaque). RNAcentral's name for it is "lncRNA (ENSMFAG00000052533.1)". Lineage: Eukaryota; Metazoa; Chordata; Mammalia; Primates; Cercopithecidae. The record is from RNAcentral.